CUAUGUCAUGAAUUUGGCAUGGCGAAAGGAG
Molecule: non-coding RNA, 31 nt
Filed under: unclassified sequences
Description: L31-Firmicutes ribosomal protein leader
Rfam family: L31-Firmicutes ribosomal protein leader
Source: RNAcentral